This 730-nucleotide long non-coding RNA is filed under the name Ananas comosus (pineapple). RNAcentral's name for it is "long non-coding RNA (ACOM_LNC009944)". The record is from RNAcentral. Lineage: Eukaryota; Viridiplantae; Streptophyta; Magnoliopsida; Poales; Bromeliaceae.
GAGUAUCACUAGAGAUAGAGGAGGUGGUAGAGGAGGAGGGCGAUGAUUGUUGGUCGAGGAUUGUUAAAUAUAAAAAUGUUUAAACACCGUUCUCUAAAAGCUUAAGCUUUUAGAGUACAACGGUUGUUUCACAUGGUAUCAGAGCAGGAGGUCCUGAGUUCGAGUCACGCCAGGCUUCUAGCAUAUUAAUUUUCUCCCAUUUAAUUCAAGCCCACGUCAUGGGCCAACUAAAAAGUCUCGAGCCCAGACGUGAGGGAGAGUGUUAAAUAUAAAAAUAUUUAAACACUGUUCCCUAAUAGCUUAAGCUUUUAGAGUACAACGGUUGUUUCAUAUGGUAUCAGAGCAGGAGGUCCUGAGUUCGAGUCACGCCAGACUCCUAACAUAUUAAUAGCCAUGGUAGUGAAAUAAUAGUGAUUGUGAGAGGAAAAAAUCUGACGAAUAAUACGAUGUUGCAUUAUUUUAAAAAAAUAAAUAGUACAAUAUAUAUUCAGAUAGUAAAAUUUUUAAUAAAUAGUGCAAUAUCGCAUCAUCUGCCUGAUUUUUUCUUCUCACUACUGCCACCACGUUCUUUCGGCCACGAUCACCAAAAACAUGCUUCAAAAUCAUUCUUGACCAGUGAUCGCUACCCUCCUCCUUUCCCACCUUCGUCGAGCGGCCAUGACGACGAUCGGGUUCGUCAUUUUUCUCUCACUUAUAAUGUUUUCAUGAUGCAUACGCAAUGAAAGAGUUU